Molecule: long non-coding RNA, 591 nt
Organism: Zingiber officinale
Lineage: Eukaryota; Viridiplantae; Streptophyta; Magnoliopsida; Zingiberales; Zingiberaceae
Exons: 4
Source: RefSeq, a predicted model, not a curated record
UGCUGACGGAGUCACACCUGAAGCGCAGGAUUUUAGCUGCUGGUGGUUCAGUGGUUGAAUGCCCCCCAGAAAAGGAGCAACUGAUUACUGCCACAGGCUUGCACCAGUUGCACAUUCUGAUGUUCUUUUUGGCUGUGUUUCAUGUGGUAAAUAGUGGUCUUAUAAUGGUCCUUGGAAGAGCAAAGGUGAAUCUGCAGUGACAGAGUAGUGGAUUACAUUAUGUAUCAUUCUGAAUAAUUCCAUAGCAUUGCCUGAGGAUGAUUUAGUUUAGCUGUUGCAGUAUCCACUUUGCAUUGAUAAUCUUCUCUUGGGCAGAUACACAGAUGGAAGGACUGGGAAAAGGAUACGACAUCGGCUGAGUAUGCCUUCACGACUGGUAUAUAUAUGUUCACUAUUCUUUGUUUUUUUGUCCCAGAUUUGCAUCCUUGGAUCCUAGUUUGAGUGGUAAAAGUGCAGAACCAGUAUAUCGUGAUGCAAAAGGGAAAGCUAUUUCAAAGGAAGAGCUACUGAAACCAAAGGAGGAAGAGAAACCAAAGUUUACAAAUCUCAAGUACUCCAGAGUUGAAAUUGAUGAAGUGCGGUUCGAGUGGG